GCUAACUGCAGUCGAAGGUAGCACAGAGAGCUUGCUCUCGGGUGACGAGUGGCGGACGGGUGAGUAAUGUCUGGGAAACUGCCUGAUGGAGGGGGAUAACUACUGGAAACGGUAGCUAAUACCGCAUAACGUCGCAAGACCAAAGAGGGGGACCUUCGGGCCUCUUGCCAUCUGAUGUGCCCAGAUGGGAUUAGCUAGUAGGUGGGGUAACGGCUCACCUAGGCGACGAUCCCUAGCUGGUCUGAGACGAUGACCAGCCACACUGGAACUGAGACACGGUCCAGACUCCUACGGGAGGCAGCAGUGGGGAAUAUUGCACAAUGGGCGCAAACCUGAUGCAGCCAUGCCGCGUGUAUGAAGAAGGCCUUCGGGUUGUAAAGUACUUUCAGCGGGGAGGAAGGUGAUGAGGUUAAUAACCUCGUCAAUUGACGUUACCCGCAGAAGAAGCACCGGCUAACUCCGUGCCAGCAGCCGCGGUAAUACGGAGGGUGCAAGCGUUAAUCGGAAUUACUGGGCGUAAAGCGCACGCAGGCGGUCUGUCAAGUCGGAUGUGAAAUCCCCGGGCUCAACCUUGGAACUGCAUUCGAAACUGGCAGGCUAGAGUCUUGUAGAGGGGGGUAGAAUUCCAGGUGUAGCGGUGAAAUGCGUAGAGAUCUGGAGGAAUACCGGUGGCGAAGGCGGCCCCCUGGACAAAGACUGACGCUCAGGUGCGAAAGCGUGGGGAGCAAACAGGCAUUAGAUACCCUGGUAGUCCACGCCGUAAACGAUG
This 769-nucleotide ribosomal RNA is filed under the name Enterobacter sp. FVB-2. RNAcentral describes it as "bacterial SSU rRNA". It matches the Rfam family "Bacterial small subunit ribosomal RNA", at positions 46 to 811 of the family's 1533-position model. The record is from RNAcentral. Lineage: Bacteria; Pseudomonadati; Pseudomonadota; Gammaproteobacteria; Enterobacterales; Enterobacteriaceae.